Molecule: ribosomal RNA, 437 nt
Filed under: Wolbachia endosymbiont of Aphis gossypii
Lineage: Bacteria; Pseudomonadati; Pseudomonadota; Alphaproteobacteria; Rickettsiales; Anaplasmataceae
Description: bacterial SSU rRNA
Rfam family: Bacterial small subunit ribosomal RNA
Source: RNAcentral
CAUACCUAUUCGAAGGGAUAGGGUCGGUUUGGUCGGAUUUCACACGGGUGUUGCAUGGCUGUCGUCAGCUCGUGUCGUGAGAUGUUGGGUUAAGUCCCGCAACGAGCGCAACCCUCAUCCUUAGUUACCAUCAGGUUAUGCUGGGGACUUUAAGGAAACUGCCAGUGAUAAACUGGAGGAAGGUGGGGAUGAUGUCAAGUCAUCAUGGCCCUUAUGGAGUGGGCUACACACGUGCUACAAUGGUGAUUACAAUGGGCUGCAAGGUCGCAAGGCUGAGCUAAUCCUAAAAAAUCAUCUCAGUUCGGAUUGUUCUCUGCAACCCGAGAGCAUGAAGUUGGAAUUGCUAGUAAUCGUGGAUCAGCAUGCCACGGUGAAUACGUUCUCGGGUCUUGUACACACUGCCCGUCACGCCAUGGGAAUUGGUUUCACUCGAAGCU